GAUGAACGCUAGCGGGAGGCUUAAUACAUGCAAGUCGAACGGUAACAGGAUUUUUCGGAAUUGCUGACGAGUGGCGCACGGGUGAGUAACGCGUACGUACCUACCUUAUACUGGGGAACACAUACUGGAAACGGAGUAAAUGCCCCAUAGUCUCGCAAGAGUAAAGCUUCGGCGGUAUAAGAUGGACGUGCGUUAGAUUAGCUAGUUGGUGAGGUAACGGCUUACCAAGGCGACGAUCUAUAGGGGGCGUGAGAGCGUGAUCCCCCACACGGGUACUGAGACACGGACCCGACUCCUACGGGAGGCAGCAGUAAGGAAUAUUGGACAAUGGACGGAAGUCUGAUCCAGCCAUCCCGCGUGCAGGAUGAAGGCGCUCAGCGUUGUAAACUGCUUUUAUUUACCAAGAAACGCCUUGACGUGUCAGGGCCUGACGGUAGUAGAUGAAUAAGCACCGGCUAACUCCG
This 464-nucleotide ribosomal RNA is filed under the name uncultured Saprospiraceae bacterium. RNAcentral describes it as "bacterial SSU rRNA". It matches the Rfam family "Bacterial small subunit ribosomal RNA", at positions 28 to 505 of the family's 1533-position model. The record is from RNAcentral. Lineage: Bacteria; Pseudomonadati; Bacteroidota; Saprospiria; Saprospirales; Saprospiraceae.